Molecule: ribosomal RNA, 253 nt
Filed under: uncultured bacterium
Lineage: Bacteria
Description: partial 16S ribosomal RNA
Rfam family: Bacterial small subunit ribosomal RNA
Source: RNAcentral
GACGAAGGUGGCGAGCGUUACUCGGAAUUACUAGGCGUAAAGCGUGGGUAGGUGGUUCGGCAAGUCUGUUGUGAAAGCUCCUGGCUUAACUGGGAGAGGCCAAUGGAUACUACCGGACUUGAAUGUGGGAGGGGUCACUGGAAUUCCCGGUGUAGCGGUGAAAUGCGUAGAGAUCGGGAGGAACACCAAUGGCGAAAGCAGGUGACUGGACCACUAUUGACACUGAGCCACGAAAGCUAGGGGAGCAAACAGG